RNAcentral lists this small nuclear RNA (197 nucleotides) under Eptatretus burgeri (inshore hagfish). RNAcentral's name for it is "U2 spliceosomal RNA (ENSEBUG00000000220.1)". It matches the Rfam family "U2 spliceosomal RNA". Rfam says of the family: U2 is a small nuclear RNA (snRNA) component of the spliceosome (involved in pre-mRNA splicing). Complementary binding between U2 snRNA (in an area lying towards the 5' end but 3' to hairpin I) and the branchpoint sequence (BPS) of the intron results the bulging out of an unpaired adenosine, on the BPS, which initiates a nucleophilic attack at the intronic 5' splice site, thus starting the first of two transesterification reactions that mediate splicing. The record is from RNAcentral. Lineage: Eukaryota; Metazoa; Chordata; Myxini; Myxiniformes; Myxinidae.
AUACGUACCGAUAUAACUGUUCUAUAGGACCUGUAUGUUGAGUGCUCAUGGCUUCCAGAUUCGUAACAAUAUGUCCUGCAAUGCGGGACUAGUCUAUUAAAUGGAUUUUUGGUCUCGGGAGUUGGAUUCGGGGCUUGCUCCGUCCGCUCCAUGCAUCGACCCGGUAUUGCAGUACCUCCGAGAACGGUGCACCCCCU